GAUGAACGCUGGCGGCGUGCCUAAUACAUGCCAGUCGAGCGAACGGACGAGAAGCUUGCUUCUCUGAUGUUAGCGGCGGACGGGUGAGUAACACGUGGAUAACCUACCUAUAAGACUGGGAUAACUUCGGGAAACCGGAGCUAAUACCGGAUGAUAUUUUGAACCGCAUGGUUCAAAAGUGAAAGACGGUCUUGCUGUCACUUAUAGAUGGAUCCGCGCUGCAUUAGCUAGUUGGUAAGGUAACGGCUUACCAAGGCAACGAUGCAUAGCCGACCUGAGAGGGUGAUCGGCCACACUGGAACUGAGACACGGUCCAGACUCCUACGGGAGGCAGCAGUAGGGAAUCUUCCGCAAUGGGCGAAAGCCUGACGGAGCAACGCCGCGUGAGUGAUGAAGGUCUUCGGAUCGUAAAACUCUGUUAUUAGGGAAGAACAUAUGUGUAAGUAACUGUGCACAUCUUGACGGUACCUAAUCAGAAAGCCACGGCUAACUACGUG
Molecule: ribosomal RNA, 497 nt
Filed under: uncultured bacterium
Lineage: Bacteria
Description: partial 16S ribosomal RNA
Rfam family: Bacterial small subunit ribosomal RNA
Source: RNAcentral